This 405-nucleotide ribosomal RNA is filed under the name uncultured Sphingobacteriales bacterium. RNAcentral's name for it is "bacterial SSU rRNA". It matches the Rfam family "Bacterial small subunit ribosomal RNA", at positions 977 to 1382 of the family's 1533-position model. The record is from RNAcentral. Lineage: Bacteria; Pseudomonadati; Bacteroidota; Sphingobacteriia; Sphingobacteriales.
GGGCUCGAACGUAAGAUGACUGUAGGUGAAAGCUUACAUCUCUUCGGAGCAUUUUACGAGGUGCUGCAUGGUUGUCGUCAGCUCGUGCCGUGAGGUGUCGGGUUAAGUCCCAUAACGAGCGCAACCCCUACCUUUAGUUGCCAUCAGGUUAAGCUGGGGACUCUAAAGGAACUGCCUACGCAAGUAGUGAGGAAGCGGGGAUGACGUCAAAUCAGCACGGCCCUUACGUCCAGGGCUACACACGUGCUACAAUGGCCGAUACAGAGGGCAGCUACCUGGUGACAGGAUGCAAAAUCUCCAAAGUCGGUCUCAGUUCGGAUCGGAGUCUGCAACCCGACUCCGUGAAGUUGGAUUCGCUAGUAAUCGCGCAUCAGCCAUGGCGCGGUGAAUACGUUCCCGGGCCUU